This 544-nucleotide ribosomal RNA is filed under the name uncultured bacterium. Its description in RNAcentral is "bacterial SSU rRNA". It matches the Rfam family "Bacterial small subunit ribosomal RNA", at positions 777 to 1320 of the family's 1533-position model. The record is from RNAcentral.
AAUAGAUACCCGGGUAGUCCACCCCGUAAACGUUGGGAACUAGUUGUGGGGUCCUUUCCACGGAUUCCGUGACGCAGCUAACGCAUUAAGUUCCCCGCCUGGGGAGUACGGCCGCAAGGCUAAAACUCAAAGGAAUUGACGGGGACCCGCAUAAGCGGCGGAGCAUGCGGAUUAAUUCGAUGCAACGCGAAGAACCUUACCAAGGCUUGACAUACACCAGAACACCCUAGAAAUAGGGGACUCUUUGGACACUGGUGAACAGGUGGUGCAUGGUUGUCGUCAGCUCGUGUCGUGAGAUGUUGGGUUAAGUCCCGCAACGAGCGCAACCCUCGUUCUAUGUUGCCAGCACGUAAUGGUGGGAACUCAUGGGAUACUGCCGGGGUCAACUCGGAGGAAGGUGGGGAUGGACGUCAAAUCAUCAUGCCCCUUAUGUCUUGGGCUUCACGCAUGCUACAAUGGCCGGUACAAAGGGCUGCAAUACCGUGAGGUGGAGCGAAUCCAAAAGCCGGUCCCAGUUCGGAUUGAGGUCUGCAACUCGACCUCA